RNAcentral lists this ribosomal RNA (401 nucleotides) under uncultured bacterium. RNAcentral's name for it is "bacterial SSU rRNA". It matches the Rfam family "Bacterial small subunit ribosomal RNA", at positions 355 to 773 of the family's 1533-position model. The record is from RNAcentral.
UGGGGAAUAUUGGACAAUGGGCGCAAGCCUGAUCCAGCCAUGCCGCGUGAGUGAUGAAGGCCUUAGGGUUGUAAAGCUCUUUUAGCGGGGAAGAUAAUGACGGUACCCGCAGAAAAAGCCCCGGCUAACUUCGUGCCAGCAGCCGCGGUAAUACGAAGGGGGCUAGCGUUGCUCGGAAUUACUGGGCGUAAAGCGCACGUAGGCGGACUCUUAAGUCGGUGGUGAAAUCCUGGAGCUCAACUCCAGAACUGCCUUCGAUACUGGGAGUCUUGAGUUCGGGAGAGGUGAGUGGAACUGCGAGUGUAGAGGUGAAAUUCGUAGAUAUUCGCAAGAACACCAGUGGCGAAGGCGGCUCACUGGCCCGAUACUGACGCUGAGGUGCGAAAGCGUGGGGAGCAAAC